Molecule: ribosomal RNA, 400 nt
Filed under: uncultured bacterium
Lineage: Bacteria
Description: bacterial SSU rRNA
Rfam family: Bacterial small subunit ribosomal RNA
Source: RNAcentral
UCGAGAAUAGUCUACAAUGGCCGGAAGGCUGAUAGUGCGACGCCGCGUGAACGAGGGAGCCCUUCGGGGUGUAAAGUUCUUUUCUAUACGAGCAGUGCUAUAUAUAUGGAUAGUAUAUAUAGAGGGAUAGUAGUAUAGGAAUAAGCAACGGCUAACUCCGUGCCAGCAGCCGCGGUAACACGGGGGUUGCGAGCGUUGUCCGGAAUUACUAGGCGUAAAGGGCAGGUAGGCGGAUCUACGAGUUUUUUGUUAAAGGCUACGGCUCAACUGUAGUAGAGCAGGAGAUACUGUAGGUCUGGAAUGCGGUAGGGGAAGACAGAAUUCCUGGUGUAGCGGUGGAAUGCGCAGAGAUCAGGAGGAAUACCGAAGGCGAAGGCAGUCUUCUAGGCCGUAAUUGACG